RNAcentral lists this ribosomal RNA (510 nucleotides) under uncultured bacterium. RNAcentral's name for it is "partial 16S ribosomal RNA". It matches the Rfam family "Bacterial small subunit ribosomal RNA", at positions 28 to 507 of the family's 1533-position model. The record is from RNAcentral.
GACGAACGCUGGCGGCGUGCUUAACACAUGCAAGUCGAACGAAGAGCGAUGGAAGCUUGCUUCUAUCAAUCUUAGUGGCGCACGGGUGAGUAACGCGUAAUCAACCUGCCCUUCAGAGGGGGACAACAGUUGGAAACGACUGCUAAUACCGCAUACGAUCCAAUCUCGGCAUCGGGACUGGAUGAAAGGUGGCCUCUAUUUAUAAGCUAUCACUGAAGGAGGGGAUUGCGUCUGAUUAGCUAGUUGGAGGGGUAACGGCCCACCAAGGCGAUGAUCAGUAGCCGGUCUGAGAGGAUGAACGGCCACAUUGGGACUGAGACACGGCCCAGACUCCUACGGGAGGCAGCAGUGGGGAAUCUUCCGCAAUGGACGAAAGUCUGACGGAGCAACGCCGCGUGAGUGAUGACGGCCUUCGGGUUGUAAAGCUCUGUUAAUCGGGACGAAUGGUUCUUGUGCGAAUAGUGCGAGGAUUUGACGGUACCGGAAGAGAAAGCCACGGCUAACUACGUG